AGAGUUUGAUCCUGGCUCAGAUUGAACGCUAGCGGGAUGCUUUACACAUGCAAGUCGGACGGCAGCACGAAGAGCUUGCUCUUUGGUGGCGAGUGGCGAACGGGUGAGUAAUGUAUCGGAACGUGCCCAGUAGCGGGGGAUAACUACGCGAAAGCGUGGCUAAUACCGCAUACGCCCUACGGGGGAAAGGGGGGGAUCGCAAGACCUCUCACUAUUGGAGCGGCCGAUAUCGGAUUAGCUAGUUGGUGGGGUAAAGGCCUACCAAGGCGACGAUCCGUANCUGGUUUGAGAGGACGACCAGCCACACUGGGACUGAGACACGGCCCAAACUCCUACGGGAGGCAGCAGUGGGGAAUUUUGGGACAUGGGGGGCACCCUGAUCCAGCCAUCCCGCGUGUGCGAUGAAGGCCUUCGGGGUUUGUAAAGCACUUUUGGCAGGGAAGAAAACAGUCGGGUUAA
RNAcentral lists this ribosomal RNA (459 nucleotides) under uncultured bacterium. RNAcentral's name for it is "bacterial SSU rRNA". It matches the Rfam family "Bacterial small subunit ribosomal RNA", at positions 8 to 463 of the family's 1533-position model. The record is from RNAcentral.